RNAcentral lists this ribosomal RNA (458 nucleotides) under uncultured bacterium. RNAcentral describes it as "bacterial SSU rRNA". It matches the Rfam family "Bacterial small subunit ribosomal RNA", at positions 29 to 506 of the family's 1533-position model. The record is from RNAcentral.
GUGAACGCUGGCGGCGUGCCUAACACAUGCAAGUCGAACGAUGAUAGAGAGCUUGCUCUCUUGAUUAGUGGCGCACGGGUGAGUAUACCAUAGAUAAUGUACCUCUUAGUUCGGGAUAGCCACUGGAAACGGUGAUUAAUACCGGAUACUCCUUCUUACUCUAAGGUACGUCGGGAAAGUUUUUUCGCUAAGAGAUCAGUCUAUGUCCUAUCAGCUAGUUGGUGAGGUAAUGGCUCACCAAGGCUAUGACGGGUAUCGGGUUGUAGAGGAUGCACAGACACACUGGAACUGAGACACGGUCCAGACGCCUACGGGAGGCAGCAGUGAGGAAUAUUGCACAAUGGAGGAAACUCUGAUGCAGCAACGCCGCGUGGAGGAUGACGCAUUUCGGUGUGUAAACUCCUUUUAAGAGGGAAGAUAAUGACGGUACCUCUUGAAUAAGCACCGGCUAACUCCGU